This 811-nucleotide ribosomal RNA is filed under the name uncultured Halobacteria archaeon. RNAcentral describes it as "bacterial SSU rRNA". It matches the Rfam family "Archaeal small subunit ribosomal RNA", at positions 503 to 1312 of the family's 1478-position model. Lineage: Archaea; Methanobacteriati; Methanobacteriota; Halobacteria. The record is from RNAcentral.
AUUGGGCCUAAAGCGUCCGUAGCUGGCCGCACAAGUCUAUCGGAAAAUCCACCCGCUCAACGGGUGGGCGUCCGGUAGAAACUGUGUGGCUUGGGACCGGAAGGCGCGACGGGUACGUCCGGGGUAGGAGUGAAAUCCCGUAAUCCUGGACGGACCGCCGAUGGCGAAAGCACGUCGCGAAGACGGAUCCGACAGUGAGGGACGAAAGCUAGGGUCUCGAACCGGAUUAGAUACCCGGGUAGUCCUAGCCGUAAACAAUGCCUGCUAGGUGUGGCUCCCACUACGAGUGGGUGCUGUGCCGUAGGGAAGCCGCUAAGCAGGCCGCCUGGGAAGUACGUCCGCAAGGAUGAAACUUAAAGGAAUUGGCGGGGGAGCACUACAACCGGAGGAGCCUGCGGUUUAAUUGGACUCAACGCCGGACAUCUCACCAGCAUCGACUGUAGUAAUGACGAUCAGGUUGAUGACCUUAUCCGAGCUUCAGAGAGGAGGUGCAUGGCCGCCGUCAGCUCGUACCGUGAGGCGUCCUGUUAAGUCAGGCAACGAGCGAGACCCGCAUCCUUACUUGCCAGCAGCACUGCGAAGUGGCUGGGGACAGUAGGGAGACCGCCGUGGCCAACACGGAGGAAGGAACGGGCAACGGUAGGUCAGUAUGCCCCGAAUGUGCUGGGCAACACGCGGGCUACAAUGGUCGAGACAAAGGGUUCCUACUCCGAAAGGAGACGGUAAUCUCAGAAACUCGAUCGUAGUUCGGAUUGUGGGCUGCAACUCGCCCACAUGAAGCUGGAUUCGGUAGUAAUCGCGUGUCAUAAGC